AGAGGGAGAAAAAAAGAAGUUAGAACCAAUCUGAUUCAGAUUGAGUAGAACAGAUUAAUCUUAAAUAAAGAACGACGUAAAACUUUGCAUUCAAAACGACACUGCUUUAAGCAUCUCACAAACACACUACACGAUGCAUCAACGCAAGCUCGCCUCAUUGCGAAGAAUCUCGUAGGACGACGAACGUGGAACGAUCGAGAAAAGCCAUAUAGACGUACGAUGGAACGAAGAGAUACGCAGGUGUGUGUAACGGGAAAAAGAGACAGAGAGAAUAAGAAACGUCAGCGGAUCGCGCGAUUCACGACGGACUCAACCGAAUCGAACAACGACGGGACGAGCGUUGCUGCUCGCUGUUGAGCUGCUGUAUUGCUAUUCCCCUGCUUCUUGGCAGACCCGGCACUUGGGCCCAAAACCAGGGCCGUACGCAUAAUGGUGUUCGUGACGUUUUAUGUUAAGCGUUCCAAACUCCCGCCUCUUCUCCCCACCACUACACUUUCUUAUCUUCCUUGCAUACUUUUAGCGUCGAUGAGUAUUUACACAUGUAUUUACAACGGGUAUGCAACAACUACAGUUACGCGCUAAAUGUAGGAUGAUGCAUUUUAGGGAUUCGCCCGAAAAUUGAUCUUUUAUCUUUCAAGACAAUUCUUCGCGUUACUUCUCUUUCUACUUUGAAGAAACGAAAUAUUACGGAUUUAUUAUUUUUAAUUAUCGUCAUAUUUAUCGUCAUUAAUUAUCGUCAUUAAUUAUCGUCAUAUGAACUUUUAAUCAAAUUUAUAAUAUACGUAUAUUAAAACGAUGUCAUUAUUAAACUGUUUACGUUAAUUUUACAGGAAUUUUGUGGAAUCGGUUACUUCAUUCGAUUUGUCAUAUCGAAUGAAGUAACCAAUUUCAAUGUGUGAUUGUAAUUCAUAUUACAAUGAAAAUCGAUUAUAAAUGUUGUUGUUUAUUACGAAAUCAAUUAGCAAAAUGACGAAAUCUUUUUUGAAACGAUUAUUACGUAUUUACGUAUAUUAUAUAUAUAUAUAUACACACGAAGUUAUUUAACGUAUUAUAAUAAUAUUUGUAUUUAUUAACAUUAGAGUAAAAAAAUUCUUAAAUAGAAACGAAAAAUACUUUGAAUAGUAUAAUAUCUUGCAUCUGCUUUAUAAAGGCGUUGUUUUUGUGCAACGUUCUACAGAUAAUAUAUAUAUUUAAUUUUACAUACAUAAAAUAAAAUUAAUGUUAUAUAAAUGAAAAAUGCAAGUGAUUAAAAUCUUAUAGAUACGAACGAUUUAGUACGGUAAUGAACUCUCAUUUCAUUUCCUUCGUCUAUGUAUAUACAUAAAGAAGAGACAUACUUACGUAUGCACACGCAAAAGACAUUCGAUAUGCGUAUUUCGAUACUUUAAGGUCGCCCGCAAAUAGAAACCCUCGUUCGUGAUGCGGAUCUUUCGAGAGAAAGAAAGAAAAAAAAAAAAAGAAAAAGAAAUGCAGUACUACGAGACAGACAUGGGUGAUCAAUUUCACGAGAUCGGCAAAGAAUGGAAAGCAAACCGUUAUUUUGUAUAAGAAUGUAAAUCGUCGAAUUAGCAACGAGAUGCUUUUUCGCGACCUGAUAAUUAUUCGACGAGAAAUCGUAUGAGAAAUUCUUACGAUCACAUUCAAUCGAUGUAAACAGGUGCUUACGAAUGAUCAGGUAGUUUGUUGCGGGAAUUUUAAAUUUACGAUUCGCUACGAUUGUUUAUUCAUUAUUUAUAACCUAGAAAAGUCAAUCUCAAUUUGGCAAAGGAAUUCUUGAUCGAUUUAUUUCUUCUUCGCGUAAGAACAAACCUAUAUAAUUCUUAUUACUAUAAUAAUUAUUGACUUUUUUCAAUUACACUUCUAUCGAAGUAUCUAAAUACAAUAAACCACAAUCCAUUUCCAGAUAUAACAGAUUCUACAAAGAACACAAUUCGUUGUUCCAAAAAUCUCGAAAAUAACUUUACAAUUUGAUUGAUUUCUUUCCAAAGAAUUUUGUAUUAUAAACUUAUGCAUGGUAUUUUUCAAUAAACAAUUUUCAAUUUGUAUUUGUCUAACGUAACAAUACAUUUAUUAAUAACUACUUCGUUUUAAAGAGAAUCAAUUGAUCCACAAUUGAACUUGUUUACGUAAGAUAUAUUUCGUUUCAAGGAGUCAUAAUUCGAAUUACAAAAUCUAUAACGUAGCUAAUCGCGACAUCUAUGUAUCAAAAUGUUUAACUUUAAAGCACUAAUUACAAGUAAAUUAAAUAGUGCUAAAUGGUGCUAAAUAUUACAAUUUUAACAAGUAUCUACGAAAUAAGAAAUGAUAAUUGGAUUGAAGAAGGAAGAGAAUUUGUUUAUUUCAAUAAUCAUCAAAACACUAUCUAAUUGUAAGAUUGAAUCAGAAUAAUGACAGAAAGAAAUUACAACGAAGUAGAAUAAAGAAGAAAGUUAAAGAGAAAGAAAGAGAUCAGUGAUAAAUUCUUUGGUAUGGUAAUACACACAUUCCACAUAUCACAAGGCUUUAAGAAUUAUUCUAUAGGGUGUCGCGAGAAAAAAGAUGUAGGUAUUUCUUCCUCAAUAAAUAAUAACUGCCCCAUUCAUGCUCGCUCUAGCGUAAAAACACUAAAUAAAAGAAGGGAAAAGAAAGAAAUAAACGUGUACUUUAAUUAUAUGAAGUAUAAUGAUCUAUGUCAUUAGCACCAUUAAAACGAAAGAAGAUUUAUGCGAUUAAGUAACGCUCUGUUUGUAAUCAUUAGUAUCUAAGAAAAUUUUUUAUUGACAUGCAUUUCGUAUAUCUGAUAGAUUUAAGCAAGGCAUUUCAAUUUCACAUUCCUACUUCAUUACCAGAGAAAGAAAAAAAGAGAGGAGGGAGGAAGAAAGAGAGAGAGAGAGAGAGAGAAAGAGACAAGAAAGAAAGAGAAAAAGAGAGAGAGAAGAAAGAAAGAAAAAAAGAAAGAAAGAAGAAAGAGAGAGAGAGAGAGAGAGAGAGAGAGAAAGGGAAAGAGAGGGAGAGAAAGAGAAAGAAUAUGGUAUCUAAUCUUUAACAUCAAGCUGAUGUUUCCAAGGCAUUACAAAAUGUUAUGACGUAUUAAUAUAUCGAAGUCAUGAGAUAUACGUAGGUAGAAGUUGAAUCCCUUCGUACGCAACCAAAUACGCCUAUACACUGACAGUACUUUCAUAGUUCAACACACCUACGCUUUAUAGAUAUAUAAUUUGGAUUAUUUUCAAACAUUUCUCAAGACUUCAAUAAACUAUUACGAGAUACCGAUCAUCUCAGCAAGUAUAAUGGAUAAUUGAAAUAUUUCAAACGAAUCCAAUAAAAAGUUCUCUCAUCUAUGUGAAGUUCAACGUCAAAACGUAGCCCUAACAUAGAAGACAUCUACGUAGCGUAACGAAUCACGUACACGUGGUCACCACUGUGGAGAAUGCAUUUCUUUAUAUGGCAUCUAUAUAAUAUUCUUCACAAUCUAUCUAGUGGCAUAACGCAUAUACUUUAGCGUUCUAUUCAUGGUCACCGAUUUUACCGUUAAAACGCGACAUUUCCGUUCAUUGCUAGAUAUAAAUGUGAGUUUCCUUUUAUAGAUGUGAUAGAUCUUGAAAAGGAACAAUUUUAACGUACUCCAUCUUUGAGAAGAAGCUUACUCGAUCAACCUUUCCUGAGUAGGCACGUAUUUGUACGCCUAUUAUGUGAUCAAGGUGCAUAAUGCGGUGUCUUAAAUAGCGUGGGAGAUAUAGGAUCAUAAUAAUCGUCCAGGAAACCCAUGGCUGAAGAUAUUGUCUUAUACAAAAAGGAAAUGACGUAUAUGAAAUAAAAAAAGAGAAAAAAAAGAAAAAGAAAAAAAUACUAAGUAAAGAAAACGAUGAACGUAUCGUGUAUUUGGGUCAGUAGCACAACACUUGAAUGCGUGAAAUCGUAAGUCAAUGACCUGAUCGAUGACCUGUUGACUUAGAGAGGGUACAUUACUUGCGAACGAGAAAGAAUCUAAGCAAUGUUCACGGAAGUAAACGCAUAUAUACACAUAUAUGUAGUACGUAUAUACGAAUGGAAGCCAACUCCGUAAUAAACAGACAGAAGGAACAUCUUUAUUUCUCGAGAGAGUUGAUUCGUAAAUAAUGAUACACUUUAAAAUGGAUAAUAAAUCGUUACUAAUCGAAUUUUUUCCUUCAACAAAUAUAGACAUUUGUUUCGGUCAUUGUAUAUUAUAGAGCUAUGUACAUCAAAAUCAUUAUUCUUGUGCCUGAAGAAUGAAGGCAACGGUAUAAAGGCAGAGUGAAAGUUUCUCGUGAUAAUAGAAAUGGUAAUUUUUAAUAUUUAUAAACUAUCGAGUUCCUAUUGAGUAUCGGCCUUCUUAAUAAGAUUUUUAAAUACCUUUCUAAGUAUAUAUAGUUUAAAUAAAUACAUUAUACGAAUAUUUUUUAUGUCUCCAUUAUAGAUUCAUGUAUAAAUUAAUAAUCGUUAUUUUAUAAUAGAAUUUAUGCUUGAGAGAAUGCAAUCGUUAAAAUGAUAAUUCUUCAUUAUUAAAACAUCUUUAAUAUUGAUGAAUUUAUGGAAGAAUUUUAAUAAUAUGUAUAAAACUUAUAUUGCGUUUAAUCAAAUAAUACAUGAACGAUGCUGAUUUUUCCUACUUUUUAAUCUGUGAUGGUACUGCCAAGUGCCAUGCAUUCCGUUGAAUCGCAUACAAGUAUGCAUGCAUGUACGAGGUACAUACAUAUGCAUGUAUAUUCCAUAGUUAAAUGCAAAAUAAUUCGUUCAGCUCUCGAUUACGAACCUUUUUUUAAUGGAUAACGUCAUGAAAGAAAACGAAGGCGAUUGACAAUGCUUCAUUAUUUUCUUUUUUUUUUUCUUUUGUUAGACAAAAUUAAAAUGAUAGUAUGAAAACUUACCGGGAACGACUUCGCCAUUGAAUGUCAUUUCAACCAAAUGUGUAACAGCUUCA
Molecule: long non-coding RNA, 4918 nt
Organism: Vespa mandarinia (Asian giant hornet)
Lineage: Eukaryota; Metazoa; Arthropoda; Insecta; Hymenoptera; Vespidae
Source: RefSeq, a predicted model, not a curated record